Molecule: ribosomal RNA, 459 nt
Filed under: uncultured bacterium
Lineage: Bacteria
Description: bacterial SSU rRNA
Rfam family: Bacterial small subunit ribosomal RNA
Source: RNAcentral
AUUGAACGCUGGCGGCAGGCUUAACACAUGCAAGUCGAACGGUAACAUAAAGAAGCUUGCUUCUUUGAUGACGAGUGGCGGACGGGUGAGUAAUGCUUGGGAAUCUAGCUUAUGGAGGGGGAUAACUACGGGAAACUGUAGCUAAUACCGCGUAGUAUCGGAAGAUGAAAGUGUGGGACCUUCGGGCCACAUGCCAUAGGAUGAGCCCAAGUGGGAUUAGGUAGUUGGUGAGGUAAAGGCUCACCAAGCCGACGAUCUCUAGCUGGUCUGAGAGGAUGACCAGCCACACUGGGACUGAGACACGGCCCAGACUCCUACGGGAGGCAGCAGUGGGGAAUAUUGCGCAAUGGGGGCAACCCUGACGCAGCCAUGCCGCGUGAAUGAAGAAGGCCCUCGGGUUGUAAAGUUCUUUCGGUAGCGAGGAAGGCACUUAGUUUAAUAAACUAGGNGAUGACGUAA